ACCGUCUCUAUCUGGGGGAUGCGCACCAUUCCAAUGAACGUAUAGUGAGGAUUGGUCUGCUAACACCAAUGAAAUAUCAUGUGUCACUGACUUCUCCGAAGUUAGUAGGCACAAUUUUUGGGGCU
RNAcentral lists this non-coding RNA (125 nucleotides) under Capitella teleta. RNAcentral's name for it is "U4atac minor spliceosomal RNA". It matches the Rfam family "U4atac minor spliceosomal RNA". Rfam says of the family: U4atac is an essential component of the minor U12-type spliceosome complex which is required for removal of the rarer class of eukaryotic introns (AT-AC, U12-type). These interacting stem loops have been shown to be required for in vivo splicing. U4atac also contains an 3' Sm protein binding site which has been shown to be essential for splicing activity. Lineage: Eukaryota; Metazoa; Annelida; Polychaeta; Capitellidae. The record is from Rfam by way of RNAcentral.